CCUACGGGAGGCAGCAGUAGGGAAUAUUGGGCAAUGGAGGCAACUCUGACCCAGCCAUGCCGCGUGAACGAAGAAGGCGCUCUGCGUCGUAAAGUUCUUUUAGAAGGGGCGAAAAUGCGGAAUUUAUUCUGUACUGACGGUACCUUCGGAAUAAGCACCGGCUAACUCCGUGCCAGCAGCCGCGGUAAUAUGGAGGGUGCGAGCGUUAUCCGGAAUCACUGGGUUUAAAGGGUGCGUAGGCGGGGAGAUAAGUCAGAGGUGAAAGCUCAUCGCUCAACGAUGGAAUUGCCUUUGAUACUGUUUUUCUUGAAAUAUGUUGAGGUUGGCGGAAUGAGACAUGUAGCGGUGAAAUGCAUAGAUAUGUCUUAGAACACCGAUUGCGAAGGCAGCUGACUGGACAUUAUUUGACGCUGAGGCACGAAAGCGUGGGGAUCAAACAGGAUUAGAUACCCUGGUAGUCCACGCCCUAAACGAUGUUACUGCUGUUUGUUUUCGGAUGAGUGGCGAAGCGAAAGCGAUAAGUAAACCGACCUGGGGAGUACGCCCGCGAAGGGUUGAAACGUCAAAGGAAUUGACGG
This 578-nucleotide ribosomal RNA is filed under the name uncultured bacterium. RNAcentral's name for it is "bacterial SSU rRNA". It matches the Rfam family "Bacterial small subunit ribosomal RNA", at positions 338 to 916 of the family's 1533-position model. The record is from RNAcentral.